GUAAGUGAAGCUUAAAUCAACUUCAUUUCCCAAAAUAGCCAUACUGGGUAAGACACAAUGUUGGUCCUGCCAGUAUCCUUUCUUCUACAGUGAUCAAUAGUAUUCCUUGAAGAAGUAAUGUAAGAACAGCCAAAUAUAGAAUGACCGUUCUUCUGUAUAAUCUCCAUGACAAAUGAAGUGUCAAGAACUUCUUUGGGUGGAGAUGGUAUCUGCAUUUAAUAGCUUUUGAUGGAAUUUUAUGCUACACUGGACCUUCAGUGCAAUAUUCUCCUAUCACUGAUUCUUUUAGCUCACAUAUACAUUUAGCCUCCAUAAUAACCUAUAGCAUAUCAUUUAUUUAAUAAAGACAGUAGUUUUCUUUUCUUUGAAACCUACUAUCUCAAAAGUUUAUUGGCAUCUUGCUAUUCUUUUGUUAUGAGAAACAGUGAAUAACUGUUGUCUUCUCAUUUUCUCCAGCAAAGGCGUGUGGGUUUUAUAUACCUUUAUUGUAUGUCCCUUCAGUUGCUGCUUUUUCAGGCUAAGAAUCCCAGGUACAAAAAACAGUUAGAAACAUUAUCAGAGAUAAUAGUUACCCAUGCUUUACUGACAAAAUAGAAAAACGGUCCCUGUUAGAUUGUGAGAGGUCUGCUUUCACUGGAAUUUAUCUGGUUUUUCCUUAUUGACUCAGGUGAUAUUGUAGAGCGACUGCUUAAUGUAUCUGUACAUGAUAAACACAGUAAGAGUGGGAGUGCCCUUUGCAGGGCAGAACUAGACUUCAGAGUUAUUUUUGCAAGUUGGAGAAGUAAUUUGGGUAAAAAAAGGUUUUAGUAAUAAUCAUCAUUAUCAUCCAUAUUUUUGUGUUUAGGUGGAAAGAAUUGUCUGUACAAAUCUAUCACGAGUCAGAUAUUUAGGCAAUGAUAAAUAGAACUAAAGCUGAAAAGUAGAACAUAAGUCAACAAAGAUUUGUUGUACUGAAAAAGGCAAUUCUCAAACCAGUCUGUGUGGAAAGGUCGAUAACCUGGCAAGGUUUAUGGUGCAUGUUCUCUACUCUAGCUGGUUUUGGCAGGACACAGCUGGAGUACAGUGUCUGGUAUUGAUCACCUCAUGGUGAUCAAAGGAGGAUAUGGAUUAUUCUGAGACCCAAGAGGAGUUCAGUAAAGAUGAUCAAAAAACAGUUGAAGAAAUUCACAGCUUUUCCAUUUAAAAUAGCUAAACCUAAGAGAAGAUAUGUCAGUAAGUACCAAAUAAAUAAAACUUUGUAGCAAGAUAUAAGCCUUUCUCCCUGUCCACUUGUUGAGACAAAUAACAGGGAACAGAAUAGAUUUAACUUAAGAAAAGGGCUUUAAGAAAACACUGACAGCACAAAUAAUAAACCCAUGGGAUCAGUUGUCUGAGUCAUGGUAUCUCUACCACUAGGGUUUUUAAGGACAAAUUAAACAUCUGUGUGGACACUUAGGUCUAAUUGAUUCUGCUGUACAGCAGAGAGAUGGACUAAGAUGACCUCUUGGGAUCACUUUCAGUAUUUUUUUUCUGUUUUGUUUGUUUUGUUCCCCCUCACACCCCCAGAUAUGUUAAAAUAUUAAUGCAUUAAAUGUUGCUUAGAUAGAUUGUUGAUUAAUAUUUAGUUUCAUUUAAGAAUGACAUAAAAAAUGCAACUGAAAAUCUACUUAAAAAAGAACAAGAAUUAACCACAAGCAAGCUAACCUUGGAAGAAGCCCAGAGAGAAAGAUAAGCAUACAAAAUAUGAAGACCUGAACAAAUCCUUUUUAGAAAAGAAAGAUGAAGAAGUACAAGCCACAAGAGCCAUUCAGCAGUCAAUCAAAACUACUGGGAAGCUCAAGAAGGACAUGGUAAUAACUUACUGUAGUAAUUCUGCAGAGUUUCAACCACCAGAUUUAUUUCCUCCUGGUAAAGGCACCCAUGGAGACUGGGACCAGGGAAGACAGGCUGGGACCUUACCAUCCUCUCUGUUGCUGUGCUCCCAUCUGGGGAGUGGCUGAGAUUUCAGCUCAGCCUAUAACCCAGAAUUUAUAUCAAGCUGCCCUUCUGCUUGAUUUUGUGUUCCUUAGACAUGUGAGCAAGUCAAAAAGAAGCUGGUGAACUGGGGGCAUUUGUAAACCUGCUUCAAUUCAGGUUCUUGCUACUGCAAAGGCAGGAAUUUCUGCUACUUUAGUAACUCGUAUUUGAAAAACUUUUCUGUAGCAUUGCCUCUUUACCUGUAUUUCUCAUUUCUGACUUGAGGCAUUCAAUCAGCACCAGUGUGAAGAGAACGAAAUUGGUAUAGCUGUAGGGGUAGUUAGAAUAGUUCAAAAUGCCUGAAGCUGGGCUGUACAUCCCAGGCUAACAAUCAGAUUGCUUUUUCUUCCUGUUUCUUUGCCAGAACAAAAAUUUAUGGGGGAAAGGAACAUAUUUACACCUUCUGCUGCUACUAGGAAGAAUUAAAGUGUCUUUAGUUACUGAGAAGCAUAGGACAAGAUCAAUAAACUACAUAAAGGGAUCUUACGAGGCUGGUCAGAUGCAGGAUUCAUGCCCCAGUGGUCUGUUUAGAAAAGGGAGACCUGUUUCUCCAACCAUAUUAGAAUAGAAAUAGCACAACAAAACAGUUGUGUACACUUGAGCCUCAGGUGACAGAAAAAUUAUGCUCUUGCCAUUGGUUGACCCUGCAGCAGAAAGGUCACUUCAUGUCAGAGCUGAUUCAUUUCUUGUGGACCAUAAGCAAUUGAUUCCCCACUCUGUGUCUUCACUGGUAAGAGGGCUGUCUCAGAUGGUACUUUGGAAUCUUAAAAUGAAAGCUGCCACAUAACAAAAACUCUUUUCACUUUAUUUAAUUACAAAAAUCCUAUAUAAAAAUCUGUUAUCAGUGAAGUUUAUUAUUAACAGCUGGAGCUGAAGAAUAAAUUGCGAACGAAGCGUGAUGCUGCAGUUAGCCAGUUGAAAAAUCACACAGAGACUACGAAGCUCCUAGAACAAGACAUCUAUGAGAUCAACAGGAAAAUUGACAUUGUGUACACUGAGAACUGCAGAUUCAAAUUACGCACUGCACAAAUGAAAGAAGAUAUUUUUGCAAUGAAUUCUGAAGCAGAAAAACACAAGUCAGCAAUAGGCAAAAUCCUGAAAGACAUACCAGUGCUUCACGGAAUUUCUGGAGAAUGAGCAGGAACUACUGAACACAGUGACAGCUCUAACAACAGAAAUUCAGCAACGAGAUGAAAAGAUUGGUGAUAUUAAUAGCAGGCUGCAAAAUAACCUGGAAGGACUGGAUUCUCUGCUUGUCCGAAAAUCUAAACUGGAUGAUCACAAUAAAAUAGACUAAACUUUUUCUUUUCCACUCUCUUUUCUUUUUCAUUUUUCCUUUUUGCUGUUUUUUUAAUCCCAGAACAUGUUGAUUCUCACCACUUCGUGAUAGAGACCCUGUAACGCAGCACAUUGUAUCCAAUCACUGUGCUGCAGAUUGAGAUCGAGUGGUUAUAUUUAUUAGCCGAACUAGACAUGCUUUAGAACAGCCUGGAUAUUAUCAUCUUUUAUCUCCACUUUGUAACGGGUUGUGAUAAUAACAGUGAGGGGGCUGUAAAACAGUCUGAGCAUCAUUGAUCUUUCCAGAACUGUGUUUGCUUUUCCACAAAGGAUAAAUAAAACUAACAGACCUUUA
Long non-coding RNA from Pezoporus occidentalis (night parrot), 3628 nucleotides. RefSeq lists it as uncharacterized. The transcript is spliced from 4 exons. The record is from RefSeq and is a predicted model, not a curated record. NCBI's taxonomy places the organism in Eukaryota, Metazoa, Chordata, Aves, Psittaciformes, Psittacidae.